This 442-nucleotide ribosomal RNA is filed under the name uncultured bacterium. RNAcentral describes it as "bacterial SSU rRNA". It matches the Rfam family "Bacterial small subunit ribosomal RNA", at positions 338 to 795 of the family's 1533-position model. The record is from RNAcentral.
CCUACGGGGGGCUGCAGUCGAGAAUCUUCCUCAAUGGCCGAAAGGCUGAAGGAGCGACAUCGCGUGCAGGAGGAAGCCCUUCGGGGUGUAAACUGCUUUUCUCUGGGAAGAAACAAUGACGGUACCAGAGGAAUAAGGGGUUGCUAAACUCGUGCCAGCAGCAGCGGUAAUACGAGUACCCCGAGCGUUAUCCGGAUUUAUUGGGCGUAAAGCGUGCGUAGACGGUUUAUAACAUCUCCUGUUAAAUCCCAAGGCUCAACCUUGGGGCUGCGGGAGAUAUGGAUAAACUAGAGGCUGGAAGAGGUAAGCGGAAUUGCUGGUGUAGGGGUUAAAUCCGUUAAUAUCAGCAGGAACACCAAAUGCGAAGGCAGCUUACUGGAACAGUUCUGACGUUCAGGCACGAAAGCGUGGGGAGCGAAUGGGAUUAGAUACCCCGGUAGUC